GCGGGCAUAGCUCAGUUGGUAGAGCGCUACCUUGCCAAGGUCGAGGUCACGAGUUCGAAUCUCGUUGCCCGCUCCA
RNAcentral lists this transfer RNA (76 nucleotides) under Rheinheimera sp. Its description in RNAcentral is "tRNA-Gly". It matches the Rfam family "tRNA". Rfam says of the family: Transfer RNA (tRNA) molecules are approximately 80 nucleotides in length. Their secondary structure includes four short double-helical elements and three loops (D, anti-codon, and T loops). RNAcentral also lists the same sequence under 1 other name. Lineage: Bacteria; Pseudomonadati; Pseudomonadota; Gammaproteobacteria; Chromatiales; Chromatiaceae. The record is from RNAcentral.